AAAAUUGCCAUCUCUCGCGAUCCCCCCACGACCCCUCCCCGAAGCCCAACCACGCGAACCCUAACUCAGAUCCUCUCCCACUCCAGCCGCCACUGCCGCCCAGAUCCAAUCCCUCCUGCCCUCCCGCCCUAGAUCCAAUCGCUCCUUUCUUGCACGCGUCGGCCACCUCCCUCCGGCGGAGCUCGCCGCCCUCCUCCUCUCACCCUCUCCAUCAACCGCACUACAGCCGCUGCGACACACACCAGAGCAGCUGAGAUCCGUGUCCCAGCACCUACGCGGAAGGUGGUCAUCCUCUCGCCCGCCUACACGAUGCCCACCUGUCUCCUCUCCUCUCGCCCACCGCACGUCCGCUGCUCCAUCAAGCAGGUCUCCGACAACCUCCACGGCAACAUCUCCCUUGAUCCGGUGAUUGAUUUGUUUUGGGCCUUCACUGCAGCGCUAGUUCCUCCGCUACCGCGCCACAUUGCUUUCCCACGACGGGACCAAACAGCAACGACAGCGCAAGUUCCCGUCCACCAGAUUAUCUGCUCCCAAAUGCGUUAGCAGUAUCUGCGCAGUUUUUCCUCUUCAGAUUUUGGGUCUGGCUCACGUUUCCCCUCCUGCCCGCCGACGCACUGCUCGCAAACAGAAAUGAAGCGUCAAUGAUAUGAACCACAACAACAAUUGACAGAGCGCCAUGGAUUGUGGCUUGGGGCCAAAACUAAGCCAUCCUGUCUUGCCAUCUUUUCAAUUACUGGUUUCCCCUCCUGCUGCCGAUUACUGGUUUUAGCCCCAAGCCAUCUUGUCUUGCCGUUUUUGGUGAGCUGGUGGCUUGGGGCUAAAACCACUGUUUAUGGUCGUUGAUGAUGGUCAUAUUAGCUAUGAGAUGUGAGGGAAAAAUUGUAACCUCAAAUGUGUGUCAUCAUGUUACUGUUGUGACCCUUCAUGUUAUUUCCGUGCUGAGAUUGUGAGAUUCUUAUAGGACCAUAAAGUUCAUUCUCUUUCAGUCUAUCGCAUGUGUUUUGUACCAAUAUCAUGAUUAUGCACCAAACAUAUUACGUUAGUGGUUCAUUCUAUUUGAUAUCGUCAACUUUAUUAUCACCUGCCAUAAGGACGAUCUGUAUGCACCAAACAUGAUCUUGAAAUGAUUUUUAUUCUAAGCAUUUUUGUCAUAGUCAAUAAGCUAGUUCCUGAAUCAAAUUUGUUAAUGAAAUGUUUCUGUAGCAUGCUAUAGUUAAUUAGUUGGCAAGUGUGAUGUCCAUUCGCUGGAUUCCGUCGCCUGAUUCCAGACGCCUCCUCUGUUUUUUGUAGGUCUGGCAGCACCGCCGCGUCGAUGACGAAGGUGUUGACCGCGGCGGCGAGCGGCGCGAGUUGGUGGCUGCGGGACUCGACGGCACGGCUCUCGUCAGCGGCGACAGAGGCGGUUGUUAGGAGCGCAUGAUAGACUACUAAAUGGACAAGUAUCUGCAACGUUCAGCGUCGAAGAUGGUGCAUACCAGAUGUUCUACUGUAGCCCCAUCCAUAUCAUCGACAUGAAGUUAGAUUUUGGCCUUCAUUCAUCAAAAGUUGGUGUACAAGGAACUCCAGGAGAAGAAUCUUUAAGUAAAUAAUUUAUAUAGAUCAGGAUCUUAUGUUGUCGAGGUGGCAGCUGUUGUGACCAAAGAUCAGCCUGGAGAUGUGCAUCAUAGUUUUAGUUGAUGUUACCACCAUGUUUUGGUGCCUGUCUAUUUGAUUGUAUAUACACUUGAUGGACCGUGUAGUCGUGUACGUGCUGUUUGAGUUUCAUUUAGUGAUUUCUGGAUUUGAUCAUUUAAUUGAGAAAAUUAUUUAUUGUUUGC
Triticum urartu is the source of this 1817-nucleotide non-coding RNA. The record is from RefSeq and is a predicted model, not a curated record. NCBI's taxonomy places the organism in Eukaryota, Viridiplantae, Streptophyta, Magnoliopsida, Poales, Poaceae.